AUGACAAAUCCUCACGAAGAAGCUAAAACGCAGCAAAAUACUGACGAAGACCCUGCUGAAGAGCAUGCAAUCCAGCAAGCUCCUGUCAAAGCAAAAAGGCAAAAGCAAAAGGACAAUGCUGAAAACAUCAUCGACACUAGUACAUUGCAGCAUCAGCCAUUACCUCUAAUGGUACUCCCACCAACAGCACCAACCGCCAUGAAGAAACAAGGUGAAUGCAAGAAGAAAAACAAACGACAAAGGGUAGAAAAAGAACAAGACGAUACCAACAGCAAAGGUUCAGAUACCAAUGAUGACGACGAUGACAGGGAACAUGGUGCAGAUUUCAUUCCUAUAGACGGCGAUGAUGCCGAAGAGCAUGACAGCGACGCAGAACAUGACGACGAUAACAAAUCAGGACAGAAGGACAGAAAGAGGAGAAAGACAAGCGGAAAAGAAUUGGUAGCACCAACAGUUGACGAAGAACAGCAAGAAACAAACGAAGAGAAAUGCCAAAUCAAGGCAGGGGCAGCAUUCGCUCAUGUCAAGAAAGCAUGGAAUUUACUUAAAGACCGUCACAAGCAAGAUAUUAGGACGGCAGGAUUUGGCAGCAUAGAGAACUGCAAAAUAACGGGCUCCAUCUGCAGACCACUUGCAACACACAUCUACGACAACCUGGACACAGAAAGCAUGACAAUCACCUUCGGUGAUGGUACCGAAGACAAGAAAAUCAAGAUUACCAAGGAAGCUAUACACAAGGUGUUUGGAUACCCAAACGGCACGGAAAACGCCGCUAUCUUCGCCCGACAAGCUAUAAUGGUAGAGGACAUGGACUAUCCAGAGAUGGCAAAGAUGGAUUUCUACGAGGUAAUCGUCGAAUGUAUUAAGGAAGGAGCCAAGAUAUGGCAGAAACACGAAAAUUUGCCUCAGGAAGAAAAGAACAAAAAGCAUGUCAAUGGUUUGGCACAGGGGCCAGUAAUCAUGUACCUCGACUCCCUACUGCUGCCAACCGACACAAAAGAAAUGCGGAAGAUUGCAAAGACAAUGGACAAGACCUCAUUACCACGAGCAAACCAUCUCAAAGAGAGUGACCUAGCGAAAAUAGCUAGAGCAGACAUGAAAAGGGACGGAAAAGCACGACCAGAUGACUAUGAAUAUGGCAAAAUACAGCAGUAG
This 1155-nucleotide ribosomal RNA is filed under the name Triticum aestivum (bread wheat). RNAcentral's name for it is "partial small subunit ribosomal RNA". Lineage: Eukaryota; Viridiplantae; Streptophyta; Magnoliopsida; Poales; Poaceae. The record is from RNAcentral.